GGUUAAGCGACUAAGCGUACACGGUGGAUGCCCUGGCAGUCAGAGGCGAUGAAGGACGUGCUAAUCUGCGAAAAGCGUCGGUAAGGUGAUAUGAACCGUUAUAACCGGCGAUGUCCGAAUGGGGAAACCCAGUGUGAUUCGUCACACUAUCGUUAACUGAAUACAUAGGUUAACGAGGCGAACCGGGGGAACUGAAACAUCUAAGUACCCCGAGGAAAAGAAAUCAACCGAGAUUCCCCCAGUAGCGGCGAGCGAACGGGGAGCAGCCCAGAGUCUGAAUCAGCUUGUGUGUUAGUGGAACGGUCUGGAAAGUCCGACGGUACAGGGUGAUAGUCCCGUACACCAAAAUGCACAGGCUGUGAACUCGAAGAGUAGGGCGGGACACGUGGUAUCCUGUCUGAAUAUGGGGGGACCAUCCUCCAAGGCUAAAUACUCCUGACUGACCGAUAGUGAACCAGUACCGUGAGGGAAAGGCGAAAAGAACCCCGGCGAGGGGAGUGAAAAAGAACCUGAAACCGUGUACGUACAAGCAGUGGGAGCACCUUCGGGUGUGACUGCGUACCUUUUGUAUAAUGGGUCAGCGACUUAUAUUCUGUAGCAAGGUUAACCGUAUAGGGGAGCCGCAGGGAAACCGAGUCUUAACUGGGCGUUAAGUUGCAGGGUAUAGACCCGAAACCCGGUGAUCUAGCCAUGGGCAGGUUGAAGGUUGGGUAACACUAACUGGAGGACCGAACCGACUAAUGUUGAAAAAUUAGCGGAUGACUUGUGGCUGGGGGUGAAAGGCCAAUCAAACCGGGAGAUAGCUGGUUCUCCCCGAAAGCUAUUUAGGUAGCGCCUCGUGAAUUCAUCUUCGGGGGUAGAGCACUGUUUCGGCUAGGGGGUCAUCCCGACUUACCAACCCGAUGCAAACUACGAAUACCGAAGAAUGUUAUCACGGGAGACACACGGCGGGUGCUAACGUCCGUCGUGAAGAGGGAAACAACCCAGACCGCCAGCUAAGGUCCCAAAGUCAUGGUUAAGUGGGAAACGAUGUGGGAAGGCACAGACAGCCAGGAUGUUGGCUUAGAAGCAGCCAUCAUUUAAAGAAAGCGUAAUAGCUCACUGGUCGAGUCGGCCUGCGCGGAAGAUGUAACGGGGCUAAACCAUGCACCGAAGCUGCGGCAGCGACACUAUGUGUUGUUGGGUAGGGGAGCGUUCUGUAAGCCUGCGAAGGUGACCUGUGAGGGUUGCUGGAGGUAUCAGAAGUGCGAAUGCUGACAUAAGUAACGAUAAAGCGGGUGAAAAGCCCGCUCGCCGGAAGACCAAGGGUUCCUGUCCAACGUUAAUCGGGGCAGGGUGAGUCGACCCCUAAGGCGAGGCCGAAAGGCGUAGUCGAUGGGAAACAGGUUAAUAUUCCUGUACUUGGUGUUACUGCGAAGGGGGGACGGAGAAGGCUAUGUUAGCCGGGCGACGGUUGUCCCGGUUUAAGCAUGUAGGCUGGUUAUCCAGGCAAAUCCGGAUAAUCAAGGCUGAGGUGUGAUGACGAGGCACUACGGUGCUGAAGUAACAAAUGCCCUGCUUCCAGGAAAAGCCUCUAAGCAUCAGGUAACAUUAAAUCGUACCCCAAACCGACACAGGUGGUCAGGUAGAGAAUACCAAGGCGCUUGAGAGAACUCGGGUGAAGGAACUAGGCAAAAUGGUGCCGUAACUUCGGGAGAAGGCACGCUGGUGUGUAGGUGAAGUCCCUGCGGAUGGAGCUGAGACCAGUCGAAGAUACCAGCUGGCUGCAACUGUUUAUUAAAAACACAGCACUGUGCAAACACGAAAGUGGACGUAUACGGUGUGACGCCUGCCCGGUGCCGGAAGGUUAAUUGAUGGGGUUAUCCGUAAGGAGAAGCUCUUGAUCGAAGCCCCGGUAAACGGCGGCCGUAACUAUAACGGUCCUAAGGUAGCGAAAUUCCUUGUCGGGUAAGUUCCGACCUGCACGAAUGGCGUAAUGAUGGCCAGGCUGUCUCCACCCGAGACUCAGUGAAAUUGAACUCGCUGUGAAGAUGCAGUGUACCCGCGGCAAGACGGAAAGACCCCGUGAACCUUUACUAUAGCUUGACACUGAACAUUGAGCCUUGAUGUGUAGGAUAGGUGGGAGGCUUUGAAGCGUGGACGCCAGUCUGCGUGGAGCCAACCUUGAAAUACCACCCUUUAAUGUUUGAUGUUCUAACGUUGGCCCCUGACCGGGGUUGCGGACAGUGUCUGGUGGGUAGUUUGACUGGGGCGGUCUCCUCCCAAAGCGUAACGGAGGAGCACGAAGGUUAGCUAAUCCUGGUCGGACAUCAGGAGGUUAGUGCAAUGGCAUAAGCUAGCUUGACUGCGAGCGUGACGGCGCGAGCAGGUGCGAAAGCAGGUCAUAGUGAUCCGGUGGUUCUGAAUGGAAGGGCCAUCGCUCAACGGAUAAAAGGUACUCCGGGGAUAACAGGCUGAUACCGCCCAAGAGUUCAUAUCGACGGCGGUGUUUGGCACCUCGAUGUCGGCUCAUCACAUCCUGGGGCUGAAGUAGGUCCCAAGGGUAUGGCUGUUCGCCAUUUAAAGUGGUACGCGAGCUGGGUUUAGAACGUCGUGAGACAGUUCGGUCCCUAUCUGCCGUGGGCGCUGGAGAAUUGAGGGGGGCUGCUCCUAGUACGAGAGGACCGGAGUGGACGCAUCACUGGUGUUCGGGUUGUCAUGCCAAUGGCACUGCCCGGUAGCUAAAUGCGGAAGAGAUAAGUGCUGAAAGCAUCUAAGCACGAAACUUGCCCCGAGAUGAGUUCUCCCUGAGACUUUAAGUCUCCUGAAGGAACGUUGAAGACGACGACGUUGAUAGGCCGGGUGUGUAAGCGCAGCGAUGCGUUGAGCUAACCGGUACUAAUGAACCGUGAGGCUUAACCUU
RNAcentral lists this ribosomal RNA (2902 nucleotides) under Klebsiella pneumoniae. RNAcentral's name for it is "23S ribosomal RNA". It matches the Rfam family "Bacterial large subunit ribosomal RNA". Lineage: Bacteria; Pseudomonadati; Pseudomonadota; Gammaproteobacteria; Enterobacterales; Enterobacteriaceae. The record is from RNAcentral.